AUUGAACGCUGGCGGCAUGCUUUACACAUGCAAGUCGAACGGUAACAGGCCGCAAGGUGCUGACGAGUGGCGAACGGGUGAGUAAUGCAUCGGAACGUGCCCAGUCGUGGGGGAUAACUACUCGAAAGAGUAGCUAAUACCGCAUACGAUCUAUGGAUGAAAGCGGGGGACCGUAAGGCCUCGCGCGAUUGGAGCGGCCGAUGUCAGAUUAGGUAGUUGGUGGGGUAAAGGCUCACCAAGCCAACGAUCUGUAGCUGGUCUGAGAGGACGACCAGCCACACUGGGACUGAGACACGGCCCAGACUUCUACGGGAGGCAGCAGUGGGGAAUUUUGGACAAUGGGCGCAAGCCUGAUCCAGCAAUGCCGCGUGCAGGAAGAAGGCCUUCGGGUUGUAAACUGCUUUUGUACGGAACGAAACGGCUCUGGUUAAUACCCGGGGCUAAUGACGGUACCGUAAGAAUAAGCACCGGCUAACUACGUG
This 482-nucleotide ribosomal RNA is filed under the name uncultured bacterium. Its description in RNAcentral is "partial 16S ribosomal RNA". It matches the Rfam family "Bacterial small subunit ribosomal RNA", at positions 30 to 507 of the family's 1533-position model. The record is from RNAcentral.